Molecule: RNA transcript, 1324 nt
Organism: Rosa chinensis
Lineage: Eukaryota; Viridiplantae; Streptophyta; Magnoliopsida; Rosales; Rosaceae
Gene name: universal stress protein PHOS34
Exons: 6
Source: RefSeq, a predicted model, not a curated record
AGUGAUUGCACAAGUGAGCGGGUGAAAUAUAUGCUGUUGACAUUUGGCCAAGAGAAAAUACAUUUCCAACUUGACAACAAUCUUCUUUGUUCCGGAUAAGAUCCAAUUUUUCACCGGAAGUUCCUGUUCGAAUCGCCGAUCAAAUUUGAGCCCUAACCAUGUCCGGCAACCUCGGCUGCGUGAUCGUCGCCGUUGACGGCAGUGAGGAGAGCAUGAGCGCCUUGACCUGGGCUCUCGACAACCUCAAGCUCCGAUCCUCCUCUACUCCCGAUUCCACCUCCGCCGGCCACUUCGUCGCCCUCCACGUCCAAUCUCCGCCGUCAAUCGCCGCUGGCCUCACUCCCGCCGCCAUCCCCUUCGGUGGCCCCAGCGAUUUGGAGGUGCCGGCGUUCACGGCGGCGAUCGAGGCCCACCUGAAGCGGAUCACAGAGGCCAUUUUGGCACACGCUUUGAGGAUUUGCUCCGAAAAGAAGGUGAAUGUGAAAACCCAAGUGGUAGUUGGGGAUCCGAAGGAGAAGAUUUGUGAAGCUGUUGAGAAUUUGCAUGCUGACUUACUUGUCAUGGGCUCCAGAGCUAUUGGCCCUCUUAAAAGAAUGUUUUCCUAGGGUCAUAUGAGGAAUUGGUGGUGGGAAGCUUUGUGUUCAAAUCUUAAAUGGUGGACUGAAAAUGGGGACAUACAUUGUGAUUCUCAAUUAAGGAACCAAGAUAAGAUUUGCAUGAGGAAUUUAACUGAUGCUCGAAGCUGGCAGUCAGUCAAUUCUAGGAGGUGAAAGGGAAAUAUUAGACUAAGGAGAGAAGAUUGGAAUGCCCCAGAACCUUAUAAUAUCUAAACUUUCUAUGGAAAUACAAAAGAGAAGAACAUAUGGACUUAAUAGAAGUAGCGUGAAUCUAAGAAUUCCUAUAAGAAGAGGUCACUUAGCGAUAAAAAGGAUGUUUCUUGGAAGUGUGAGCAACUAUUGUGCUAACUAUGCACAAUGCCCCGUGAUCAUUUCCAAGGCAAAGGGCGCUGCGUCAUAAGGAAAGGCAUCCAUUUCAGUGGGAAUCUAUAUCCCUUGCGCUACUGCUCAGCAAGAUCAUCGGCAAAUAGACUGCAUCUGGAUCUUCUUAGUAAACAUUGCUUCUGGAUCUACUGUGUAGGACCAUCUUUUUAUACUAUGUAAUAUUUAGAAGAAGGUACAAAUACAAUUGUUUUCUUUUGGUGGAGAAAAGUACUGUGGAUAUGAACUGUAAAUAUAUGAAUACUGUGCAUUUAAGUUGAUGUUUGAUACAAUACAAUGGUCCAAGACAAUUGAUUCUUGACCAACAGUCUUGAACCAUCUUUCUA